GAUGAACGCUGGCGGCGUGCCUAAUACAUGCAAGUCGAGCGAACAGAUGAGGAGCUUGCUCCUCUGACGUUAGCGGCGGACGGGUGAGUAACACGUGGAUAACCUACCUAUAAGACUGGGAUAACUUCGGGAAACCGGAGCUAAUACCGGAUAAUAUAUUGAACCGCAUGGUUCAAUAGUGAAAGACGGUUUUGCUUUCACUUAUAGAUGGAUCCGCGCCGCAUUAGCUAGUUGGUAAGGUAACGGCUUACCAAGGCAACGAUGCGUAGCCGACCUGAGAGGGUGAUCGGCCACACUGGAACUGAGAAACGGUCCAGACUCCUACGGGAGGCAGCAGUAGGGAAUCUUCCGCAACGGGCGAAAGCCUGACGGAGCAACGCCGCGUGAGUGAUGAAGGUCUUCGGAUCGUAAAACUCUGUUAUUAGGGAAGAACAAAUGUGUAAGUAACUAUGCACGUCUUGACGGUACCUAAUCAGAAAGCCACGGCUAACUACGUG
This 497-nucleotide ribosomal RNA is filed under the name uncultured bacterium. RNAcentral describes it as "partial 16S ribosomal RNA". It matches the Rfam family "Bacterial small subunit ribosomal RNA", at positions 28 to 507 of the family's 1533-position model. The record is from RNAcentral.